Saccostrea cuccullata (small rock oyster) is the source of this 271-nucleotide long non-coding RNA. RefSeq lists it as uncharacterized. Lineage: Eukaryota; Metazoa; Mollusca; Bivalvia; Ostreida; Ostreidae. The record is from RefSeq and is a predicted model, not a curated record. The transcript is spliced from 3 exons.
AGAUAUGUCGCUCCACAAGUUCUGACUUUGGGACAUGUUGGUACGAGGAUGCAAUUGGGGCGGGACAGUUCACCAUGGCAGCCUCACGACUCUUUCUGGACUCACUCUUGAUCCCGGCUGGAGUUUUCAUUAAAGUGAAGGGCUGCAAUGUAUAUUCUGAAAAAAGAGAAGAACAGCGUACAUUUGAGUUUUGAAUAAAAGGAGAAAAUACUUACCUGGCCUUCAUUGCACCAUAAAAAAAAUGCAGAGCUUUAGGUGCAAAAUGACACAC